RNAcentral lists this ribosomal RNA (497 nucleotides) under uncultured bacterium. RNAcentral's name for it is "partial 16S ribosomal RNA". It matches the Rfam family "Bacterial small subunit ribosomal RNA", at positions 28 to 507 of the family's 1533-position model. The record is from RNAcentral.
GAUGAACGCUGGCGGCGUGCCUAAUACAUGCAAGUCGAGCGAACAGACGAGGAGCUUGCUCCUCUGACGUUAGCGGCGGACGGGUGAGUAACACGUGGAUAACCUACCUAUAAGACUGGGAUAACUUCGGGAAACCGGAGCUAAUACCGGAUAAUAUAUUGAACCGCAUGGUUCAAUAGUGAAAGACGGUUUUGCUGUCAUUUAUAGAUGGAUCCGCGCCGCAUUAGCUAGUUGGUAAGGUAACGGCUUACCGAGGCAACGAUGCGUAGCCGACCUGAGAGGGGUGUUCGCCCAACUUGAACCUGAGACAGGGUCCAGAUCCUUAGGGAAGGAACCGUUAGGAAUCUUCCGCAAUGGGCGAAAGCCUGACGGAGCAACGCCGCGUGAGUGAUGAAGGUCUUCGGAUCGUAAAACUCUGUUAUUAGGGAAGAACAAAUGUGUAAGUAACUAUGCACGUCUUGACGGUACCUAAUCAGAAAGCCACGGCUAACUACGUG